This 21-nucleotide small RNA is filed under the name Arabidopsis thaliana (thale cress). Its description in RNAcentral is "ATSL293950". The record is from RNAcentral. Lineage: Eukaryota; Viridiplantae; Streptophyta; Magnoliopsida; Brassicales; Brassicaceae.
ACCUCCGUCCUGCUGCUCUCG